Molecule: long non-coding RNA, 3434 nt
Filed under: Dermacentor andersoni
Lineage: Eukaryota; Metazoa; Arthropoda; Arachnida; Ixodida; Ixodidae
Description: uncharacterized LOC126536395
Source: RNAcentral
CCCUAGAAAUUUCUUAAGACGAAGUUGUUCGUAACAGCAAGUGGCCAUCCAAUUACGAUGUUGAGCAAAUUAUUGGUGAGUGCGGCUGGUCGUUGGCAAAGAACACAUACGAACAAAAAGCUUUGCGAAUUCGUCCUGCUUUAUCUAGGUAACCGGUUAACCGAUUAUGCAAAGGAAGUUGUAGGUGACACUUAACUGAAACAUUAUAAUACUAGGGAUUGUUUUUCAUAAAUGGUCUAAAUUUCUUUUCUCGAAAACUCCCGACAAACACAAUAUCACAAGAAAAUUUGAACAGCGCGCAUGCAACUUUGAACUCAGUAACCAGAACAGAUCUCCCAAUUCUACCAGCAGCAACAAAUGCAGCAUUUAAUGUGAACUACUUUUUUACUAUAUAAAUGUUGUGUAAAGCGCUUCUUUGGUUUGGUCUGGGGAAGGUCUGCGAAAGUGCUAUUUGCAAAAGGCUGGUAAUUACAAUAAUCCUGUGCAGUGUAUCGUUCUGGUGCAUUUUAAAUGUUUUAAUAGACCUGUUCACAAAGCUAUAUCCGUACUUCCUUUGCAGCGUUGCAAUUUUUAUUCCUCGGGUAUCGUUCUUCUCGUGUAAGUUAUCAUAAUUUGCCCAUUCCCGAAACAUAUGUCUGGGGAUCAAGAUAGAAAACAAGUCCAACAACCAGUCCUUAGAAUAUGUUUUUUUAUUUAAUUACACUAAAAUAAUAUAAAUAUGUUAGGAAAUUGCCAUAAGGACAGCACAUUUACAAAUGGCGCGUACUUGAGUAUUGAGAGACAGAACAGAAAAGCAAGAGCCGGGAGCUUAGCUACGUUUUUGACCAGCGAACAACUCGGUUCCGCACGGUAGACUGCGGGAUGUCAAGCGAUAAAGUUGCGAAGGCUGCUUAAAGCGGCGUAACUUUUUGUGGCACGAACUUUUUAGCCCAGUCGUACAUUAUGUAUGUGAUACCUAUACUCUGGCGUUUUGAUUAAAGACAAACAUUUAACUCUAGGUUUUUACGAGCACGGCGAACUAAGGAGCCCAAAGUCAGCCACGCAAGCAGAAAACUAUGCUCGGCUCAUGGUCUCCAGCACUUCACCCCCUGACUAUACCCAAUCACUGAUGCUUCGUGCGUCUAUUUUGUGCUCAAACUACGAACAAUAUUUUGUUUGCGUGAAGGCAGCCCAGAACAAUUGCGCCGGUUUUAAGAACUCAUACUUUCUGUGUUCUUCUGGCUUUCUGCAGCAAUAUAACAUGGUGCGUGUUGUUACGAGCGGUAUUUAUUUCCACCAACAACUGAAAUGGAAGAGGCAGAUGCGCGCUGCCUCCAGCCUCCCCAGCCACAACGUCCCACAGUUACCCGAACGAGCCAACCCGCGAUGCAAACGGGCCUAGUAUGGGUAACUUGCUUUUGAGUUAAGCCGUUAUAUGCAAUAAAGUCCGAAAGCCCAAUUUACAUUUAAGUAAUCUAUUUGCUCGACAAAGCGUUCAGUUCGAAGCUUUCUUUAUUGGCUUUAGAAUAGCCACAAGGAAGGGAUGUCGUUCCUUACGCUAUCAUUCAUCAUGCACACGUAAUUCAUUGCGAAAAUAAUUCGACAGCUUCUAUUCUGGACGUGCUUUGAAACUACGUCACAGAAGUGUUAAGUUGACGUGCACAUCAUCCGCGGUCUGCCCAGUAAUUUCAGUGUUUGUGAAGGUAUUUUCUGCGGCGACAUCUUGAACUUUAUACCAUUACGUAAUAUCCUAGUUUGAUCCCAUUUUUUUCCCUCACUUGUUUACCGUUACGCACCUUUUGUAAUGGUAAAGGUCCGAUACAGGCGUAGACGCACUUAAUCAUUCUUCCCGUCAGAUGUAGUGUCACCGGCAUCUCAACAGUGCGACUGAAGCGUCAGUGCGUGUUUUCGGUAUUCAUGGAAACCUCGUUCUUGUGCUUCUUAGUUCCUUUCCUGCAGCUUUGAAGUAGUUCCUCUUGAAUCAGGCUUGAAUCUAUGCCAGAUGGUAAGCGUUGAGAGUGACCAAGAUGACGGAUAAAUAACAAUCUACGUUUCCUUCAACUGAGAGGUUUCCGAAGCUCAACCAGAACCACCGGCCGCCCAUUGAUAAUUUACGAACCUCUUCCAAGACGAAGAUAUAUAUGCACGAGCCACAUUGUGAUGGCCACAUGACGCGCCGCGGGAAGCAAAGAAUUAAAGAGGUGCCAACUGCAAAUCAGAGUAGAAUAGGUUAUGUGCUCAAAACGAGCAACAUGGCGUAGGAAAGCGCCAUUACCAAAAAUUUGCUCUAAGAUUGGAGCAGUGCCUUGCUGUCCUUUAAUUUUUUUCAGACUUACAACACAGCAUCGCAGCGACGCUCGAAGUGAGACUCUUAAGCCAGCUUUAUCCUCUUAUCAUGUGCAGUGUUAUUGAGAACUCUUGUGUUGUUAAGCCUUGGCUGAAACAGUCGGUGCUGCCUUGUGUGUACGUCUCUGCAGGCUUGUUGCCAAACGUUCGUAUAUAGCUGCGAGGGGCAUUUUUACGCUAUACGCUUACGUAUAGUCGCACGCUAGUCCCAUGCGUCAAAAGUGUCCAAUGACCAAGUGCCUCGAUAAGACUCGUGCUAGUUGUGAUCAGUGCGCGCUCUGUAUCGGCGCAGUGCGAUGAGCCAGCCACAUGUGAACCACGGCAGCCGGAGAAAUGUUGUGGCUGUCGUGCUCCCUACCUCGAAUAUACUCCGUUUUAUGUACUGUAAUUCCUCGAAUACAAUAACACAAGUGUGCCUAAAGUAAGUCCCGUCGCGAGCCCGCAGUGCCUUCUGUGUACGGAAAGUCUUGCAGACGAAUUGUAUUCUUCCUGCGCCGCACCAUAUCGCAAAAGAUGCUGCAUGCUGUGGCUCUGUUUGGCACGUGCCGUUGUUGCGUUAAAAGCGUGUUUUCUUUUUUUUUACUCAAAAUAAACAAAGUAGUCCAAGUGUUGUCGGUACACACGCAAAACAAAUAUCGGCAGUUUAGUUAUGACUCGCUUACUCCUGUCCAUUCAUUGUUCUGGCAAAAUGCACGAUUUGUGCUCGUACCUCUACCAGUUGUGGUGAGCAAGCUGGCGCGACGUGUAGUCUAGAGUGCUUACGUAGCGUUACGUGCGAGUUGCACAACGCAAGGACACGCGUGCCAAAAAGAGUCAUAUAUUUUUCCAUGUACCCUCGUCGGUCCGUGUUCUGAAAAAAAAAAAAAAAAAGGACUGCCAAAGCCCAUGAACCCACGAAUACACUGCGAGCCGUAUGUCAUAGUCCUCCGAUAACGUGCAUAAUACGGUUGUUGUUUUUUUCUUUUCUACGUAUUAUAUGUCCGAAAGUAUAUACACUCAUCUUGUCAUUGGCACUGCCUUGAUGUUACGUGAGCUCUCGCGUGGGGCAAUUUUGUUGCGUCAUUUUGUGUGCUGACUCGAACCUGAAUAAAAAUAAAACAUGCUCAAGA